AUCAAGAUUAAAUAUAAAAUCAGCUUCAACUUCGUUGAACGGAAGAUCAACCCUAUUCAAAGGUGCCGUUACAAGUUCUUCAUCAACCAAAAGUUCGACUAAUAUUUAUUUUUCUUGCUAAAAAGCUUCCUCUUCAUGUAAAUCUGAAUUUUCAUCUAACUCUAAUCGAGUUGGUAUGUCAUAUACAUCUCUAAGAGUUAUUUUUUGUACAAUAUAUUAAUUACCUCGAUACUUUAGAUCCUUCAAAUAUAUUACUUAUUUCACUUGAGUUGCUAAUAUAUACGGCUCAUUUUGGUACCAUGUUCGGGCAAGA
RNAcentral lists this long non-coding RNA (313 nucleotides) under Elaeis guineensis (African oil palm). RNAcentral's name for it is "long non-coding RNA (EGUI_LNC015616)". The record is from RNAcentral. Lineage: Eukaryota; Viridiplantae; Streptophyta; Magnoliopsida; Arecales; Arecaceae.